This 446-nucleotide ribosomal RNA is filed under the name uncultured bacterium. RNAcentral describes it as "bacterial SSU rRNA". It matches the Rfam family "Bacterial small subunit ribosomal RNA", at positions 329 to 792 of the family's 1533-position model. The record is from RNAcentral.
UGCCAGACUCCUACGGGAGGCAGCAGUGGGGAAUAUUGCACAAUGGGGGAAACCCUGAUGCAGCAACGCCGCGUGGGUGAAGGAGCGUUUCGGCGCGUAAAGCCCUGUCAGCGGGGAAGAAGAAAGACGGUACCCGACCAAGAAGCCCCGGCUAACUCCGUGCCAGCAGCCGCGGUAAUACGGAGGAUGCGAGCGUUAUCCGGAUUUAUUGGGUUUAAAGGGUGCGCAGGCGGAGGUGCAAGUCAGCGGUCAAAUUGCGGGGCUCAACCCCGUACUGCCGUUGAAACUGCAUCCCUUGAGUGCGCGAGAAGUAUGCGGAAUGCGUGGUGUAGCGGUGAAAUGCAUAGAUAUCACGCAGAACUCCGAUUGCGAAGGCAGCAUACCGGCGCCCAACUGACGCUGAAGCACGAAAGCGUGGGUAUCGAACAGGAUUAGAUACCCGUGUA